Molecule: long non-coding RNA, 1254 nt
Filed under: Homo sapiens (human)
Lineage: Eukaryota; Metazoa; Chordata; Mammalia; Primates; Hominidae
Description: GRK3 antisense RNA 1, transcript variant 5 (GRK3-AS1)
Source: RNAcentral
AGCGCCCCUCAGUGCACAGUCCCAGCGGCCUCGCUGGGCCGGCGCCUCCCGACCAAGUCUCUACGGUCGCCCUCCCCUCGGGGUGGCCACGAGGGACUCCUCCUCCUCUUCCUCCUCCCCUCCCUCCCCCUCGGUCUCCGCCUCCUCCUUCUCCUCCUCCUUCACUGCCCCGACCUCCCGCCCCAGGUUCCACGCGCUCUGAUGCCCGCCCCGCUCACCCAGAGAAGCCCUGGGCCAGACGUCCACAACCCAAGGGGUUAUGGGGAGGCCUCUGCUCCCUGGACACAGUAGUUCUCAAACUGGACAGUGUCAAUCAGCAUCCUCCGGGAGGUCUGGGGUGGCCCCGGAAAUACAUGUGUCCCACCUAUCCCAGCAGGUAAUGAUGAAACUCCUGCUCUGGUCCGGGCUACCGGUGAACAGCGCCCAGCGGGCCGGGCCCCCAACCUCGCUCCUGAGCCUGAACAUCCCCCCAACCCCACCGUGAGAAUUCAGCGAAGAGUAAAAGCUGGAAAAAGUUGCGUGUCUUAGGCUAAGCAGAACAAAGUGGGGUGACGGCUCCCCGGCUAGGAACAGAGAUGCCCUUAGGGAGCCCUCUGAUGGAAGAGCUCUCCGCUUAAGAAGGUCACCACUCCCUUACACUCAGGAGAUGUUGCUGAGAUGGGUGCAUUAAAGUUUAGGCUUUCCAGAGUUUAUAUUGCUAACAACUUGAAAGGAAAAAAGCUAACUAGAGAACUGACUGGUCUUAUUUGUUUUAGAUUCUGGGCUUUACUAAGACUUCCUACUCUCAGAAUCUCUGGACUAUAAACGCUGGGUGGGGUGGGAGCUGGGAAUGUUAUUCUGGAAAAUUAAUCACAAAUGAAAAGAAAAUCAACUCUAAGACUCCAGUUAGAAGAUUUUUGAAAAUGGCAGAACAUGACUGGCCUUCAUUCAAGUCAGAAUAUUUAAAGCAAUCCUUGCUAAGAAGAACUUGAUUUUGUAUAAGCAGUCCCUUAAAUACAGUUGCUUCUCAAGAAAACCACACACAAUUGAUGUUUGAAUGGCUUUAUUUACAAACAUCUCACUCCGUAAGCCUCUGCAGGUAUUUCUAGCCUCCCAGGGGCCACUGUCCCGUUUCACCUGUAAUUUGGAUCACAAUUCUGUUUGUUGUCACACACAUCAUAUGAACUGCUUUUCAUGCUGCUUUUAUCCACAAAGCUUUACAAGCUUUAAUGGCAGCUCUAUGUAUGACAACUUUAUAAAGAUCUGCCAAAAGGU